Molecule: unclassified non-coding RNA, 201 nt
Filed under: Hevea brasiliensis (rubber tree)
Lineage: Eukaryota; Viridiplantae; Streptophyta; Magnoliopsida; Malpighiales; Euphorbiaceae
Source: RNAcentral
GACGAGCAUUCAGCGUGAUCCUAUAGACAUAUAAUGAGACCAUAGUUGCACUGAUCAAAGUAGUCAGAAGACUAACAAAUGAUGGUCUCUGAAACAGCAAGCGCAACUCUCUAAGAAAUAGAAUACUUGCAAUCACUGCCUGGCCCUUCAGGGCAAGUGGAAGUGAUUGUCCUCUUUUGUAUGCCUGCAAGCUUAAAAUAC